ACCAAUCUAAAUCUUCCGUUCCAAUGCUCUCGAUGAUAGAUUGAUCUUCCCUCUUCGAAAAUAUGUUCAUGUGUUUCCAUUACCGUUUCCUGAUCAUGUAGAUCACUCGGAGUGACCUGAAGCUGAUACUGUUAUACAGAGGCUGGUGUGAUCUAGCCGUCACUGCCGUCUUUCGUCACCUGCCAAGAAUCAGAAGUCUCCUACAAUGAUCAGGGCAGAAUCAAAGGAGGAGUCUAGAGAUCGCAUCCAUCGAGACGAGAACCAAAGACAGAGGUAGGUAAUCGGUUCGUAGAUUCGAUUCUUAAUUUGUGAUUUCUGUUUUAAUGCAAAGGGCGUUGAUAAUAUCAUUGCUUUACGCCUUAAGCCAUUUACCGGUAAGUAUGACUGUUUUUAUACCCUGUACAGCUG
RNAcentral lists this long non-coding RNA (408 nucleotides) under Eutrema salsugineum. RNAcentral's name for it is "long non-coding RNA (ESAL_LNC001326)". The record is from RNAcentral. Lineage: Eukaryota; Viridiplantae; Streptophyta; Magnoliopsida; Brassicales; Brassicaceae.